Molecule: transfer RNA, 73 nt
Filed under: Lachnospiraceae bacterium
Lineage: Bacteria; Bacillati; Bacillota; Clostridia; Lachnospirales; Lachnospiraceae
Description: tRNA-Gln
Rfam family: tRNA
About the family: Transfer RNA (tRNA) molecules are approximately 80 nucleotides in length. Their secondary structure includes four short double-helical elements and three loops (D, anti-codon, and T loops).
Source: RNAcentral
UGGCCCAUCGCCAAAUGGUAAGGCACUGGACUCUGACUCCAGCAUUGUCAAGGUUCGAAUCCUUGUGGGCCAG